GACGAACGCUGGCGGCGUGCCUAAUACAUGCAAGUAGAACGCUGAAGGAGGAGCUUGCUUCUCUGGAUGAGUUGCGAACGGGUGAGUAACGCGUAGGUAACCUGCCUGGUAGCGGGGGAUAACUAUUGGAAACGAUAGCUAAUACCGCAUAAUAGCAGUUGUUGCAUGACAACUGUUUGAAAGGUGCAAUUGCACCACUACCAGAUGGACCUGCGUUGUAUUAGCUAGUUGGUGGGGUAACGGCUCACCAAGGCGACGAUACAUAGCCGACCUGAGAGGGUGGUCGGCCACACUGGGACUGAGACACGGCCCAGACCCCUACGGGAGGCAGCAGUAGGGAAUCUUCGGCAAUAGACGGAAGUCUGACCGAGCAACGCCGCGUGAGUGAAGAAGGUUUUCGGAUCGUAAAGCUCUGUUGUAAGAGAAGAACGAGUGUGAGAGUGGAAAGUUCACACUGUGACGGUAUCUUACCAGAAAGGGACGGCUAACUACGUG
This 495-nucleotide ribosomal RNA is filed under the name uncultured bacterium. RNAcentral describes it as "partial 16S ribosomal RNA". It matches the Rfam family "Bacterial small subunit ribosomal RNA", at positions 28 to 507 of the family's 1533-position model. The record is from RNAcentral.